Long non-coding RNA from Catharus ustulatus (Swainson's thrush), 6363 nucleotides. RefSeq lists it as uncharacterized. The record is from RefSeq and is a predicted model, not a curated record. Lineage: Eukaryota; Metazoa; Chordata; Aves; Passeriformes; Turdidae. The transcript has 2 exons.
CCCAAGCCCAUGAGUGUUUCUGUUUGCUUUUACACAGAAAUCUGGGCUCUGUAAGGUUGCAAGGACUGUGAUGGGAUGGGACUGAGCUGGGGCUGGCAAAGGGAGCAGCAGGGCCACCUCCAUCCCACACCACUCCAGCUCUGAGCUUGCAUUGCUGACUGCAGCAGAGCAAGGACACCCCACUGUGCAAAAUACCCAAAUGGGGUCUGUUCUAGGGUGGAUCAGGCAGAGCAAAGGAGGAGAAAUAAAGUCUUCAAGUGGUUCACAAGGUGGUAGCUUCUUGCAGUUGGCCUGAUUACAUGCAUCUGAAGUUGGCAGAAACUUCCUGCUGCCGGCAGUGGAGGCUGGAGUGAAAUUUAGAUGGGGAUUGUUCAUGCAGAGAAGGACACUUGUCACAGAGGGAAAGGGGAAGGAAACCGUGGCCCCUGCCAGGGCAAAGAAAGGGUUGGAGGAGGCAGCCUGAGUCAACCACAAGAAGAGUCCCACUAGCUCUUUCUACCUCCACCCACUUCCAGACACUCCUGGCCAUGUUUGAGACAGCACUAUUGAAUCCUUUCAGCACUACAGCAUUGUAUCUGUUCAGAGAAAUGCACUUCAACAGGCCAACCACCCUUAAAACCAGCCCCAUUGUUUCUCCUAAAAGCCUCAUUGAAAUCUGUGUAUAUAACUGGCUGCUGUUUUGUGAGUUAGCCAUGCUUGUGCAUUACUGAUUUGAAAAUGAAUGCUCCUUGGAGGGUUAUUUUCCCUGAAAUCCCUCUUCUCAAAGAAAUGUUCCUCCUUCCUUCAACAAUAUCAUUGUGGAAAUUCCACCCUUUAGAAAGAUGAUCAAUAUUGCUUUGUGGACUGGGAUCUGGUGGGAAUUGGUUUUAGCAAGGGUAUCAGAGCAGUGGUUUAACAAAUCUGUGUGCCUGUUUACUGAGGAGCAGUGUUACCUGCCUUGCCCAGCAGAGAGAGACACAGUCACUCACACACACCUCAAAGUGCUCCCAUUGCACGCUGCCAGUGAAGCAGUAAAAGCAGCUGGGCUAGAAGGAGUUAGGAGGAGUUAUCCCACAGACUGCAUUUUCCACUAUCAAGGUAUCUGGAAGUAUCAGAUUUAUUUGAAUCCUUAACAACAGCACAGGCUGGGAGCACUGGCAGGUCCAGCAGGCAGACCCAGUGACCCCUGUUCCUCCAGGUGAUGGUGAAAGCAGGGCAGGGUGAGAGGCAUGGUACAUCUGUGAAGCACCAUUCUCAUCUGGGUUUGGCAAAAUUCUGGUUUCUUUCAUUAGUCGCACUUAGAAACCCCUCAAAACUACAAAAAUGCAUUGUCAGGUGUUCUAAAUGGAAACCAGCAAAUACAGCUGAUGUCUAAAUAUCCAAAAUGGUGUGCCAGCUUUCACCCCCUUUGUGAGCCAUACUGGUGAUCAGCAAUUUAGCACCUCGCUGGGGUAGGUGCCUCUUUCAAGAUACAGUUGCCCAGCAAGGCACCAACAGCCAGAGAAUCACAGACUGGUUUGGGUUUGGAAGAAAUCUUUAAAGGCCAUCUAGUCCAGGCCCUUUGGAAUAAACAGGAACACUUUCCAUUGGACCAGGUUGCUCAAAGAAUUGAAUGUUUCCAGGGACAGGAUGUCUACCAUCCCCAUGGGCAAGCUGUGCCACUGUUUGACCACCCUCACUGUAAAAAAAUUAUUCAGUAUGUUUAAAAUAAUUACCUCUUGCUGUAUCUCUACAAACACUAUUAAAAAGUCUGUUCCCACCUCUCUUUUAAACCCCCUUUAAGGUCAGGUGCACUUGCAACCCCACUUCAUUCAGCUCCUGGCUGGAUGAGGUUUUUUCUGCUGUGCAGCACUGAGCUACAUGCUAAGACUGGCUUCCAGGUGCAUUAAGACACAUUCAGGUCUGGGUGAGGGGGAAAAAAUCUCCAUCUCCACUUGGAAAUGAGGGGUCAAACAAACCUGUGGCAAAGUGGAGUGCUUCACAGAGUGUGGUAAUGGAGUUGAUGCCACGUGGAUGGCAGAAAGUGUACACAAUAUUGGCCAGUUGUUUGAUACUGCCACUCUAAAGGCCCCAAGAAUUAGACCAAUUUCACACUAGAAGAGGUGCUUGUUUCUCACAUUUUCUUUCACAGUUGGAGUCCUGGUCACUUGUUGAUCUUCUGUCCUCAUAAAAUCUUUCCAGUUCAUUUAAAAGUUGGCUCUCUUGUGCAUUUCUUAAAUUCUUUCUGAAGCUCAAGGUUGGAAAUGCUUCCUUACUUCUGAGUCUCCAAGGGCAAAACCGUAAAGUGAGCACCCUGACCCCAAAGGCCUUAUGCUGCCAAAUACAGCCAGCAAGAAUUUGUGGUAAACAGGGCUGUGGGAUCACACUGCAGUAUUAAGUACUGACUAAAAGGUAUCUUGUACUUGAAGGCUUCAAAAUCCUUUGCUUUGUCUCCAGCCUUCUCCAUUGCAUCUCUGUGAUACAUGGUAAUUCUCCACUGAGAGAUUUUCAAACUUCUCUUUUUUAAAAUUUUAAUCUCUCCAUAAAAAACAGGUGGUCAUAUAAGGCUGGUAAGUUAUUUCCUUGAACUUGAGGACAUCACUUCUUUCCCUAUAAUUUUAGAAAAUCUUACUAUUGAGUCCUUUCGACAUGGUUUUUUGCAAGAUAACUCAUGAGAACCUGGUGCUGCCUCUGCUGCUCUCUUUCCCUCUCUCAAAGCACACUAUGUACAUGGAGAUGAAUAUUUCUUACAUAACAGCACAGACCAAGGAGCAUUAUUAUUAAUACAAUAAUUAUAAAUAAUAUAUUAAUUAGCAAUUGCACACACUUCUAGCUAUGGAAAAACCUGAAUUCAAGUCCUGCACUCUUUUGUGUUGUAAAACUCGUCAGUUCUAGAAAAUUAUUGCAGGAGUUCACCAGUAGAUGAGUACUUUAAUUAAUCAAGGCUGGAAGUGUUGCCUGCUAGCAUUGUUGCAAACCAUAUUUUGUUUGUCUCAAUCCCAGACUACCAAGAGUUAAUAGCCUCAAUAUUAACCCAUACACACCUGGGUAAUCCCCACAAUACUACCACCCACCAAAGCAUACUUUGAAAGUACAGAAGUCCCUUUUCCUGUUAUUAUGAUGAUGCAGAUAUAUUUAUUUUACAUAAAUUGCAUUGUUUUUUCUUCUUUUUCUGGCACUUGUCACCUCUUGAUUUUUACACAUCAAGAACUUGCAAUAAAACACCUGAUAGUUCUGUAUGAAAAUGUCAUAAAACCCCAUAUCUGGAUGUUUAGAUUAGUUUCUUCUUUUAAAUCUUAUGCAAUAAAUGUCAGAGUAACAAAGUAAAAAAGAUUCAGCUUUACACCAACGUUUGUUUCCUGGAUUUGUUCUUCUGUUGGAUGCUCGCUGUUUUAGCUUGCAAAAUCUUCUCUGCCACUGAUUUUUCUUCUGUGUUACCUGCAUAUCCACACAAAUUUCCUAUGGAGUGCAAGCUUUUUCAAGGGUUGUUCUUAGCAGAAACAUACUUGUGUUUACAUAUAGCCAGAUAUUAAACUUCUUGGAAGCUCUCAGACAGGUGAACUCUGGAUUUUUUUUCGAUAUGUAGUCCCACAGGUAUUAGCAGGAGUAUUUUGUAGUGCUAAUGUACUCACAUAUAUCUAGAGAGGGGUAUAUCUGCCCUCUAAACUGUGAAAACAAAUGAUCAGGUACAAAAUUGUCGUUUAUCUUGAGUUUAAUAUAAACUAGCAUUACAGUUCUUUAAAGGGUUUGAACUUGUGGCUGUAGACUUUCCACGGUUUACUGUAUUCUUAAGGACUGAAAAAGCUGUUUAUUAUUGUUAUCCAUAUGAAAGAAGUGCUUAUUGACUGGCCUAAUUAUGCAAAUGCACUGCAGGGGAGAAUCUCUACCUGCAAAUCUUACAGCAUAAACUAAAUAAGAGUGGGAGCAGAACGGAAGGGGAGAGCAAAUGAACAAAGUGGUAGAACUGUAGCUCUCUGAUUACCAACCAAGGUCUGCACAUUCUGUACACAUUGAAUUUCUGUAAUGCUGUAUUUUCUCGUAGAAUUUUCCCAGACAUGCAACCAUAGUUCUGGAAAGACCAUUCAGUGCUUUCAAAUAAGGAUCCUGACCAACUACAGGUCUUAGAAAUAUUGUUUAAGUGACAUCAAGGAAAUAAUUUUGCUCUGUUAAAUGACAAGACAAAAUUGUUUUUCAUGUACAUUUGGAUUAUAUGGAGGUUAUGAAAUAUGGUGUGCUGAUUUGGCUGUGUUAGACUCAAUUUUCUUCACAGUAGCUGCUGUGGGUGUGUGUUUUGGAUGUGUGAUGCAAACAGUGUUUGUAGUUCAGGGAUGUUUUUGUUACUGCUGAGCAGUGCUUGCACAGAAUCAAGGUCUUUUCUGCUCCUCACCCCACCCCACAGCUGGCUGGGGGACAGCUGGAACAGCUGACCCAGCUGCACAUGGGGGUGUUUCCUGAAAUGGAAUCAUGGCAUCAUACUCAGCAUACAAAGCUGCAGGAGGAUCACUCUGUGGUUAAAGUUGUAGGGCUGAACCGAGCCAAAUGAAGAUGUGCACUGUGCUAGCAAAAGGGACCUGCAGCAACCAAGUCUUUAAUUUGAACCAAUUCUGCUUUUCCUGAAUUAUCUUCCCUGAUUAUAAAAUAUCACGACAUGGCACCUCAUCCCUGAUCUGUCAGUUUGGGUUUAUCAAGAGCUGCCUUAAAAUGACAGUCGCAUUUUGUGAGGCGUUCAGAACUAUUCAUUCAAACCCCUUCCCAUGGGGCUGGUGCAGAGCUGCUCUGCAGAGGUGGGAGCCAUCCCCAGGGGGGUCCUGCAUCCCUUUCCCGGAGCCCGCCCGGGUUCUCCAUCCCGGGUUCUCCAUGCCGGGUUCUCCAUCCCGGGUUCUCCAUGCCGGGUUCUCCAUCCCGGGCUCUCCAUCCCGAGUUCUCCAUCCCGGGUUCUCCAUCCCGGCCCCACCGCCGCUGUCCGCGGUGCUGAGCGGUCCCGGCCCCGCGGGGUGCUGGAGUCAGCGAGCCGGGAGUCUGAAUUCUUCACAGAGGUAUGCAGAGAUUGAAUUAAAGCCUUUGGAUGGAUUGAAGUAUGUUAAACUAAUCACACAUAAAGUAGAGGUGUAAGUUUAGGUAUUAUGAUAAGUGAGUCAGUAAGUAAGUUUUAGGAUGAGCUUUAGUGCUUUUUAGUAAGUGAAAGGUUUAAAUGGCAGAAUAGAAGUGCGAGUUCUAGUGAAGGUUAAAAAACAUACUAAUGUUUUCAGUGGAGAAAAGUACUUUUAGACAUAAUAGAGCUCUAGUAAGAAUAUUGCUUACAUUUUUCAGAUAAAACAAGAUAGGUUGUAUGUGUAGUUUAUAGGUAAGCUGACAUGCUAAGAAACUAGAAUUGUAAUAGGUUAAGGAGUGGUGGUCUGAGUUUGUGUCUUAGAUUGUUGGGAAGAUUCUAUAUAAGAGCAUGCACUGGGGAGACCUGGUGCUUUUUGCCAUUGCUUUUACCAUUUUGCUUUUGCUUUGCUUUGCUCGCCACCAUCAUCAACACCCGAGAAGACAGGAGGUGCCCAGCAACAUCAGCCCCACUGCAGCAUCCAGGAGCAGAUUCUGCUUCAAUCUGGGACUCUGUGCCAAAACUUUGCAUGGACCUGAAUGUCUGUGACUGUGCCUUUGAGACUGAUGUGCUUCUGCAAUAAACAGCUUUUUAGCAACUGUUAACUGCUUUGCUCAUUUAAGAAGAUAACCGAGGAAAGUGCCAGCUCCAGCCCAGCCUAAAGAAAAGGCUCUGCCUUCAUCAGGCACAUUGUGGGGACAAGGGGAGGUCCCACAUCUGCCCACCUGGCUCCUGCACCGGGAGCAGGUUUCUCUCUGAACAUGAGCAGUUCAGGGAUCCUAGGAAUUGUGUUGGCAUUUGUAUUAAUUCGUUUUUGUAGCAUCACUGGCACUUAGGGCGCUCUUGCAGAAAAAGACCAUUUGCCUGAAAUUUUUAUGCCUUGAGGCCUCUUUGGCUGAGCUGGUGCUCUGGAGAGUUGCAUUGUGUUUUUCCUCUUUGAUUCAUGUGUCUGAAUGUCCAAAAACAACAUGCAGAAAUUUAGCUAGAGCAUUAGAAUAAUUGCCUUUACUGUGGAUAAAAGGAUAAAGCUCACACCUUAUGAGUCAUACUAAUUAUAUCCAGAGGGAUGCAAGGUUUGGCUCAUGAAGAAGUUUUGAGACAGUAACACCAUCUUAUCACAGAAAUUAUUUUAUGGUCACAGAGCCCAUAGAAGGUAAAUACAUAAGAGCUCAGAGCUCCUAUUUGCAGCAAGAGAUUUCUAUAGGCAUGUUCUGGGCAGCUGGAUUUGAACAUCUUCCAACAGAAUGAAAAUAUUUCUUCUUCACUCUAUUCCUUUUUUAUAACUGUGUUUCAUAAUAAAUGCUAUUGAUUUUUCA